AGAAACUUAGCAUUAGAGAGAGAAAGUAACGAAAAGUUAACAACAAAAAAAAACUCACAAUAAUGGUGGCGGAGAGUUGGAGCACGACGGCGAAACGCUGCGACGCCUGCAAAGCGACGCCGUCCACGGUGUUCUGCAAGUCGGACAUGGCUUUUCUCUGCUUAACUUGUGACUCCAAAAUCCACGCUGCAAACAAACUCGCGUCGAGGCACGCGCGCGUCUGGGUCUGCGAAGUGUGCGAGCACGCGCCGGCGAGCGUCACGUGUAAGGCCGACGCCGCCGCACUCUGCACCACCUGCGACCAAGACAUCCACUCCGCCAAUCCCUUAGCUCGCCGGCACGAACGGAUUCCCGUAGUUCCAUUCUACGACUCCGCCUCCGCCAGCUCUUCUCGUGGUGCUGCUGCGGACGGAAAUGAUGAUCCGCAGCAGCACGACGAUGACACGGAAGAAGAAGAAGCGGAGGCGGAGUCGUGGCUACUUCAAGCGCCUAGCACUAAUAAUAAUACUCAAGGAAUUGAGUAUAAAUCUGUGGAGUAUUUGUUCAGCGAUGUGGAUCCGUACGUGGAAAUGGAUAUAAUUGCAGAUCAGAAACCUAGUAAUGAUAUAGCUCAGCUUCAUAAUCAAGAGGAGUAUAAAGAAGAUUGUGUUGUACCUCACGUACAAAACAACAAGAAUGAUAUCCAAUUACAAGGCCCAGUUGUUGAUGGAUACCCAACUUAUGAAAUUGAUUUUUCUGGUGGAUCUAAACCUUUCAUGUACAACUUCACUUCUCAAUCCAUUAGCCAAAGUGUCUCUUCAUCAUCAAUGGAAGUUGGAGUUGUGCCUGAUCAUAACACGAUGACAGAUGUAUCAAACACAUUAGUUAGAAACUCCGCCAUUGACGGACUACCUAACCCAGUUUCGAGUUUAGACAGAAAAGCAAGAGUAUUAAGGUAUAGAGAGAAGAGAAAGAAUAGAAAAUUCGAGAAGACUAUACGAUAUGCUUCUAGAAAGGCCUAUGCUGAGACUCGACCUCGAAUCAAAGGGAGAUUUGCGAAGCGUACGGAGAACGAAGUGGGAGACUCACUCGUUGCCUCCGACGCUUCGUACGGCGUCGUUCCAUCGUUUUGAUAAUUUUAAGUUGUUGUUGUUGGUAAUUUAGGAGUAGCUAGUAAUAUGUUAUGUGUACAUAUUUUUUUUUUUU
RNAcentral lists this unclassified non-coding RNA (1185 nucleotides) under Hevea brasiliensis (rubber tree). The record is from RNAcentral. Lineage: Eukaryota; Viridiplantae; Streptophyta; Magnoliopsida; Malpighiales; Euphorbiaceae.